RNAcentral lists this ribosomal RNA (1491 nucleotides) under uncultured organism. Its description in RNAcentral is "SSU rRNA". It matches the Rfam family "Bacterial small subunit ribosomal RNA". The record is from RNAcentral.
GGCUCAGGAUGAACGCUGGCGGCGUGCCUAAUACAUGCAAGUCGAACGAGUUCUGAUUAUUGAAAGGUGCUUGCAUCUUGAUUUAAUUUUGAACGAGUGGCGGACGGGUGAGUAACACGUGGGUAACCUGCCCUUAAGUGGGGGAUAACAUUUGGAAACAGAUGCUAAUACCGCAUAAAUCCAAAAACCGCAUGGUUCUUGGCUGAAAGAUGGCGUAAGCUAUCGCUUUUGGAUGGACCCGCGGCGUAUUAGCUAGUUGGUGAGGUAACGGCUCACCAAGGCAAUGAUACGUAGCCGAACUGAGAGGUUGAUCGGCCACAUUGGGACUGAGACACGGCCCAAACUCCUACGGGAGGCAGCAGUAGGGAAUCUUCCACAAUGGACGCAAGUCUGAUGGAGCAACGCCGCGUGAGUGAAGAAGGCUUUCGGGUCGUAAAACUCUGUUGUUGGAGAAGAAUGGUCGGCAGAGUAACUGUUGUCGGCGUGACGGUAUCCAACCAGAAAGCCACGGCUAACUACGUGCCAGCAGCCGCGGUAAUACGUAGGUGGCAAGCGUUAUCCGGAUUUAUUGGGCGUAAAGCGAGCGCAGGCGGUUUUUUAAGUCUGAUGUGAAAGCCCUCGGCUUAACCGAGGAAGUGCAUCGGAAACUGGGAAACUUGAGUGCAGAAGAGGACAGUGGAACUCCAUGUGUAGCGGUGAAAUGCGUAGAUAUAUGGAAGAACACCAGUGGCGAAGGCGGCUGUCUGGUCUGUAACUGACGCUGAGGCUCGAAAGCAUGGGUAGCGAACAGGAUUAGAUACCCUGGUAGUCCAUGCCGUAAACGAUGAAUGCUAGGUGUUGGAGGGUUUCCGCCCUUCAGCGCCGCAGCUAACGCAUUAAGCAUUCCGCCUGGGGAGUACGACCGCAAGGUUGAAACUCAAAGGAAUUGACGGGGGCCCGCACAAGCGGUGGAGCAUGUGGUUUAAUUCGAAGCAACGCGAAGAACCUUACCAGGUCUUGACAUCUUUUGAUCACCUGAGAGAUCAGGUUUCCCCUUCGGGGGCAAAAUGACAGGUGGUGCAUGGUUGUCGUCAGCUCGUGUCGUGAGAUGUUGGGUUAAGUCCCGCAACGAGCGCAACCCUUAUGACUAGUUGCCAGCAUUUAGUUGGGCACUCUAGUAAGACUGCCGGUGACAAACCGGAGGAAGGUGGGGAUGACGUCAAAUCAUCAUGCCCCUUAUGACCUGGGCUACACACGUGCUACAAUGGAUGGUACAACGAGUUGCGAGACCGCGAGGUCAAGCUAAUCUCUUAAAGCCAUUCUCAGUUCGGACUGUAGGCUGCAACUCGCCUACACGAAGUCGGAAUCGCUAGUAAUCGCGGAUCAGCACGCCGCGGUGAAUACGUUCCCGGGCCUUGUACACACCGCCCGUCACACCAUGAGAGUUUGUAACACCCGAAGCCGGUGGCGUAACCCUUUUAGGGAGCGAGCCGUCUAAGGUGGGACAAAUGA